RNAcentral lists this RNase P RNA (317 nucleotides) under bovine gut metagenome. Its description in RNAcentral is "Bacterial RNase P class A". It matches the Rfam family "Bacterial RNase P class A". From Rfam's summary of the family: Ribonuclease P (RNase P) is a ubiquitous endoribonuclease, found in archaea, bacteria and eukarya as well as chloroplasts and mitochondria. The record is from RNAcentral.
GGAUAAUCGCUCCCGCCCGAGUGUGGGUUGGGGGAGGAACUUCCGAACUCCAUAGGGUAGUGCGCCGUUUGAAAGGACGGAACAGUGGGCUUAACCCUCGCUGUAUGGAAAGUGCCACAGAAACAAACCGCCCGCAAGGGUAAGGGUGAAAAGGUGCGGUAAGAGCGCACCGCGCCGACGGUAACGGCGGCGGCAAAGGUAAACCCCGCACGGAGCAAGGCCAAGCCGGUCCAUAGGUUACCCGCCUUCGUGACCAAGUAGGCCGCUUAGAGUAAUGAUUAUCACGUCCGCUUAGCGGACGGACAGAAUUCGGGGUA